AGGUGGCGAGCGUUGUCCGGAUUUACUGGGCGUAAAGGGUGCGUAGGCGGAUGUUUAAGUGGGAUGUGAAAUCCCCGGGCUUAACCUGGGGGCUGCAUUCCAAACUGGAUAUCUAGAGUGCAGGAGAGGAAAGCGGAAUUCCUAGUGUAGCGGUGAAAUGCGUAGAGAUUAGGAAGAACACCAGUGGCGAAGGCGGCUUUCUGGACUGUAACUGACGCUGAGGCACGAAAGCGUGGGUAGCAAACAGGAUUAGAUACCCUGGUAGUCCACGCCGUAAACGAUGGAUACUAGGUGUAGGGGGUAUCAACUCCCCCUGUGCCGCAGUUAACACAAUAAGUAUCCCGCCUGGGGAGUACGGUCGCAAGAUUAAAACUCAAAGGAAUUGACGGGGGCCCGCACAAGCAGCGGAGCAUGUGGUUUAAUUCGAAGCAACGCGAAGAACCUUACCUGGACUUGACAUCCCUUGCAUAGCCUAGAGAUAGGUGAAGCCCUUCGGGGCAAGGAGACAGGUGGUGCAUGGUUGUCGUCAGCUCGUGUCGUGAGAUGUUAGGUUAAGUCCUGCAACGAGCGCAACCCUUGUUAUUAGUUGCUACCAUUAAGUUGAGCACUCUAAUGAGACUGCCUGGGUAACCAGGAGGAAGGUGGGGAUGACGUCAAAUCAUCAUGCCCCUUAUGUCCAGGGCUACACACGUGCUACAAUGGUAGGUACAAUAAGACGCAAGACCGUGAGGUGGAGCAAAACUUAUAAAACCUAUCUCAGUUCGGAUUGUAGGCUGCAACUCGCCUACAUGAAGCUGGAGUUGCUAGUAAUCGCGAAUCAGAAUGUCGCGGUGAAUACGUUCCCGGGCCUUGUACACACCGCCCGUCACACCAUGAGAGCUGGUAACACCCGAAGUCCGUGAGGUAACCGUAAGGAGCCAGCGGCCGAAGGUGGGAUUAGUGA
Molecule: ribosomal RNA, 943 nt
Filed under: Clostridium botulinum
Lineage: Bacteria; Bacillati; Bacillota; Clostridia; Eubacteriales; Clostridiaceae
Description: bacterial SSU rRNA
Rfam family: Bacterial small subunit ribosomal RNA
Source: RNAcentral